RNAcentral lists this ribosomal RNA (497 nucleotides) under uncultured bacterium. RNAcentral's name for it is "partial 16S ribosomal RNA". It matches the Rfam family "Bacterial small subunit ribosomal RNA", at positions 28 to 507 of the family's 1533-position model. The record is from RNAcentral.
GAUGAACGCUGGCGGCGUGCCUAAUACAUGCAAGUCGAGCGAACGGACGAGAAGCUUGCUUUUCUGAUGUUAGCGGCGGACGGGUGAGUAACACGUGUAUAACCUACCUAUAAGACUGGGAUAACUUCGGGAAACCGGAGCUAAUACCGGCUAAUAUUUUGAACCGCAUGGUUCAAAAGUGAAAGACGGUCUUGCUGUCACUUAUAGAUGGAUCCGAGCUGCAUUAGCUAGUUGGUACGGUACCGGCUUACCACGGCAACUAUGCAUAGCCGACCUGAGAGAGGGAGUGACCACACUAGAUGUGAGCCGCGGACCAGACUCCUACGGGAGGCAGCAGUAGGGAAUGUUCCGCAACGGGAGAAAGCCUGACGGAGAAACGGCGCGUGGGGGAUAAAGGUCUUGGGAUCGUAAAAAUCUGUUAUUAGGGAAGAACAGAUGUGUAAGUAACUGUGCACAGCUUGACGGUAAUAAAUCAGAAAGCAACGGCUAAAUACGUG